Molecule: ribosomal RNA, 301 nt
Filed under: uncultured bacterium
Lineage: Bacteria
Description: partial 16S ribosomal RNA
Rfam family: Bacterial small subunit ribosomal RNA
Source: RNAcentral
CAGCAGCCGCGGUAAAACGUAGGUCCCGAGCGUUGUCCGGAUUUAUUGGGCGUAAAGCGAGCGCAGGCGGUUAGAUAAGUCUGAAGUUAAAGGCUGUGGCUUAACAUAGUACGCUUUGGAAACUGUUUAACUUGAGUGCAAGAGGGGAGAGUGGAAUUCCAUGUGUAGCGGUGAAAUGCGUAGAUAUAUGGAGGAACACCGGUGGCGAAAGCGGCUCUCUGGCUUGUAACUGACGCUGAGGCUCGAAAGCGUGGGGAACAAACAGGAUUAGAUACCCCGGUAGUCCCUGUCUCUUAUACAC